This 253-nucleotide ribosomal RNA is filed under the name uncultured bacterium. RNAcentral's name for it is "partial 16S ribosomal RNA". It matches the Rfam family "Bacterial small subunit ribosomal RNA", at positions 524 to 776 of the family's 1533-position model. The record is from RNAcentral.
UACGGAGGGUGCAAGCGUUAUCCGGAUUCACUGGGUUUAAAGGGUGCGUAGGCGGGUUGGUAAGUCCGUGGUGAAAUCUCCGAGCUUAACUCGGAAACUGCCGUGGAUACUAUCAAUCUUGAAUAUCGUGGAGGUAAGCGGAAUAUGUCAUGUAGCGGUGAAAUGCUUAGAUAUGACAUAGAACACCAAUUGCGAAGGCAGCUCGCUAAACUCUUACUGACGCUGAGGCACGAAAGCAUGGGGAUCAAACAGG